Molecule: long non-coding RNA, 8644 nt
Filed under: Nicotiana benthamiana
Lineage: Eukaryota; Viridiplantae; Streptophyta; Magnoliopsida; Solanales; Solanaceae
Description: long non-coding RNA (NBEN_LNC041163)
Source: RNAcentral
CCGCACAUGAAUACUCGGGCAACAUUAUAUAUUUCUCAAGUGCGAAAUUAGCUCAAAUAAAAUCACAUGGUUAACUAGUAGUAUUAUACACCUGUUUUCAAGCUCGAAUUGUGACAUUAACAUUUAAUAAACUCCCACAAGAUCUAAUAGGCAUUUCAUCAAACAGAUUUUAUACAAUUGAAAAUCAACUAUAAAGCCAUCUCAGUUAUCACUCAAAUCAACUUUUGAAUAAUCAAAUCACAAAAUGGAGGGGAAAAGAAAAAAAAAUGAUGUAUAUUAACUGAUAAGAAGUCACCAAGAAAGACAAAGAUGGUGGUUGACAAUUUUGAACCUAACAUAACUCCAAUAACGGCUCAUAGGGGUCCAGCGGUAGUAAAAUGGAAAGCCCAAGCAAUUGGUCAAUGAUUGAGAAACGUCCAUUUAAAAUUCAAUUUCUCCAUACAAAUGUGAGAAAAGUCCGAAGCAAAAAAGGUUAGAUAGUAUGCCAUGUUUAACUUGAAAUUCAAAAUAAGGUCAUCAAUUACACACGAUAGAUCUAUGCGGUUGAAUCGAAUCAAAAGCUUAACAAAUUUGCCUUUUCAUAUAACAUCCAAACAAAAUAACAGGGGCGUGUAUACAUACCCGAUUGAGUUGAGACAACAAAAUUGAGAGCCUAAUCCAUCCGAAAAUAGCCAGCUCCUCUAAUUGGAAUCAAACAAACAAUCAAUGCCCAAAUGAAAACGAGAAUGCAACUGUAAGGCUCAGCAGCAUCAAAUCAAGCAGCGAGAGCAGAAUCAAAUGACCACGAAUCGCAGCGAAAUCUCGAACGAGCCUAGACUUCUUGCAGGGAAUUAAGAUCCGAUUGGAGCUGGUUCAAGGACUGAUUUACUGCUGAGUGUUUUUGAACUAUUUAAAUGAUUUUAGUGGGAAAAUUGGACCCUUUUGUGGAGAAAAUGUUGUUGCGUCUUUUUUCAGAGGAGAGCCUUCUGCAAAUUUUUCGCGUGUAUUCUUGUAGAGGAGCGGAUCUGCCCGUUUUUGCCAGGGGUAGGGUCACACAUUUGGCGUGUUUGUAAGGGGGAAGGAAUUUGGAUCGGGUAUGGGUGCAAUUUGGGCUGGGCGUAAAUCUGUUUUGCGCCAGGAAAUUUUGAUUAAAAAAUCAGCCCAAAAUUGGUCUUUUGCAAGACCAACUCUUUUCAAAGCUUUUCUUUUUAUUUCUUUAUUUUUGUUUGCUUUUCCAAUUUGUAUUUUUUGUAUUAUUCUUUCUGAUUUUAUAAAGGUGCAAAAAUUAAAAUAGAGUCUUAAUGUAUUUCAAAGCUAAACUAAUUAACUCCUAAAAUUAUUUAAAACCUAUUUCAUGAUAAAUUCACAAUUAAAACAAUUAAAAUGCAAAAAUGAACAAUUUUUGUUAUUUUUCAUAUUUGAUUCUAAAACAAAUUAACCCCUAAUUAAUGCUAAAAAUGAAAUUAGAUCCUAAAUUCAAAUUCAUAUUUUUGUAUUUUUUAUAUGAAUUAAAAUGCACAAAUAAAAUGCAACAAUUACCGAAAAAUGACACAAAAAUUCACAAAAAUUGUAAAAACAAGGGGAAAAAAUCAUUUUGUUUGAAUUUUUUUUGGAAUUCAUUCACAUAUAGGGCAAAAAUCACGUGCUCACAACCAAGAGGGGUGACGGUUUUUUUUCCUCUACUGCAUUUCUCUUGUAUAAUCCGUCCUUGGUUGAAGCUUGGACCAGUAGGGUUUUUCUAUGGUUGUGGGGUGGAUAAGGAUUUUUUGGAGUUGGAGCACGCCAUUAUGGGUAAGGAGGGGGUUGAGCAUAUGACUGUGCAUGGUGAACAUGAUACUGGGGUAGUCUGACAGAGUAUUGAGGGUCUUGUAGUGGGAAAUAAUGUUGGGGUUGAUUGUAUGGAGCUUGAGUGUGGGCUUGAGGUUGGGGCCAGGGAUGAGUGUACUGGUGAGGCAAAAUCCUCGAUCCAUGCCAUGGUUCAGAGACAACCAUAGCGACAUCUUCCUUCUUCUUUUUGCCCUGCAAACUUCCUGUGCCACUUUGAAUUGCAUGUGUAAUUGCUUUUACGGAAAAAUAGCUCAUAAUCUUGCUUGACUUGAGUCCCUCUUCCACCAUUCCUCCCAUCUUUACCACAUCAUUGAAGGACUUACAUAUGGCUGAGAUCAAAUGGCCAAAGUAAAUAGACUCUAAGGCUUGAAAAAAGUACCCGACCAUCUCGUCUUCUUGCAUCAGAGGAUUGACUCGUAUCACUUGCUCUCUCCAUCUGAACCUGUUUUCCCUAAAGCUUUCAUUGGGAUUCUUUUCUACCUUGGUAAGGGAUAGGCGAUCGAGGAUAAUGACUAUGUUGUACUGAAAGUGCCGAGAAAAAGUCUGAGCCAAAUCAUCCCAUGUGUACCACCUGCUAGUAUCUUGGCGGGUGUAUCACUCCAAAGCCUCCCCAUUCAUACUCUGAUUGAAAUACGCCAUCAAUAAUUCUUCUUUCCCACCGCCGCCUCUCAUCUUGUUGCAAACACCUCUCAAAUUGGCCACGGCAUCUCUGUGUCAAUCGUACAGGUCUAACUUGGGCAUCUUGAAACCAACGGUCAAUUGGACGUCUUCGAACAAGCACAAGUCAUUGUAAGCCACACUUACUUGACUUCAUAUCCCUUGCAUAUUCUUCAAACAUUUCUCUAAACUCUUCACUUUCAUGAAUAUCUCAUCUUGCUCCACGUUCUUGGAUGGUUUCUCGGUUUCAACAAGUGGCUCAAAGUGAGGGGUGUAGGGAUAAGAAUCCGGGACCUUGAAGGUUGGUUCUAGGGCAUAUAGGCGGGCAUCUAGAGCUUGGAAUACGGGUUCUAUAGAGGAUCGGUGGAGGGUAUCUUGUGAAGGAGCUACAAAAAUAGGAACAAACAUCGGAGUACGGUAUGAGGUUGUUUUGACUGGUGGAGCAUGGAAAAUUUGGGAUGAGAUACAUGGGUAAUUGUGGUAAGGGGUAAAGCACGGUACAUGUUAAGGGGAAGAUCAAUGGUAAUGAGAACCUGGGCUUGUGGCAGUGGUGGAAUGAAAGCAUGGUUUUCUGUAUAGUUAGCAGGGAAUGAAGGUGGAGGAUGUCCCAUAAUCCAGGCCUGACAUAUUUUCACCAUUUGAUGCUUCAACCUAUGGACCUCCUUUUUCAAACCAGAGACUCAUUUUACAAUCUCCGUCGGCGGGUCAACAACACAUGUGCCCGAUACUUUGCUAGUCAUAGCUGACUUGCGCUUCGACCUAGUGUUAUAUGGAUGACUUGCCAGAAUGCCAACAAACUAACCACCUACACAGAACCUGGCUCAAUGCACAUCCAAUACAUUGGUUAGUUUUGAGACGCUUAACCGAUAGGAAAUCGCACGUUAGGAUGCAAUGCACCUAAACAGUUAAACGCUUUUACCAUAUGUUUGAACGGCUGGAUGUUUCAUCCAAGCUUUAUCUAACCCUUUUUCACUCUGUACCUUUUCAUUCCCUUCCGCCUUCCUUUUAAUCACUCUUGAUUUUCUCUUCUUUUUUUUGUCACUCUUUUAUUUUUUUUGCACUCUCUUUUUCUCUUUUGGUUUUUUCCCAUUUUUCUUUUUAUUUUCACUCAAUUUUCUUUUCUCUUUUUUUAAUGUUAUGGCUAUGAUCGAAUCUUAUGGAGAUUUCCUACAUAUCAUGACACCACAUGAAUCAGAUCAUUGCAUAGUUCAGAGAUAUAAAUGCAAAAUGAAAGACAAGAAUAUUUUUGGGGUUUUCAAAAUUUCAUUAAUAAAAGACACCUUUUUGGAUUUUUCUAUUACACAGACUCGGAAGUACUGAUGGCUAAAAAUAAACAUACAGACUUGAAACAAAACCAUAAACAUGCUCGAAAGGACAAAAUAGACUCAAAAUAAAUAAAGUACAUACUCAAAAAUCGAAAAUCAUGAAAUACAUAAGAGCCUCGAAUGCUACUUCAGGGGCUCGCGGGACAUUAGUCGGUCUCAACGCGGACCUGCGUUCAUUCUCUUAUUAAAGGUGAUCCAGAUCAGCCAUUACCUGGAGGAAAAAUGUCAUCAUGAAAGAAAAAACAUGGAUCUAGUCAUAUCCUCACAUUCAUGGCACUUCAUUGUAACAUAACAAGCUAUUUCUUUGUUUCUCAUUCUGAUGAUACCCUUUUCUUGAAGCAAACGCCGAUUUGUUAUGCACGAGAUUCCAACACCUACGUGGCUGUGUCAUUUUGGUCUUGCAGCUUUUGAAUGCUUGCUUCUAAUUGGUAAAUCAAAGCAUAACAAUGUUCUCUCAAUAUUUUGAAGUAUUUUGUUUGCUGAACUAUCUCAAUUUUUAGGGUAGUCAGUUUUUCCUUUAAGAACUUGACUCAUUUAUCAUAUUUUUUCUUCAACCCUUGAGCAAACCCUAUCCAUUCUUCCGCACCUUUUUCCAACUAUGCUCGAGAAUUUGCCAAGUCUUCCUCGGCCUUUGUCAAAUCAGCCCCAAAAUCACACAUUUCCUGCCUCAUAUUGGUUAUGAGUCUUUCAUCUUUUUCGCUUUUUACCGGGGUCUCAAUGGCUAUUUUCAUCUUUCAGAUCUGAGCUAUGAGGGAUUUAUUUUCCCGAGCCAACCUCUUCUUUUCUCCUUUAGCCUCAUCAGCCUGCAAACUACCAUCAAAUUUGAUGUUCCUGAUUUAAUCUUCUAGCAUACUUAUGGUGGCCUAGUAUUGGUUCUCUUUAGCUAACCAAGCCAAAUGUUCAUGUGAUGCAUCGACAAAUUCUUGGAUAUAGGGACUUUUGGUCGGCCUUUCAGAUUCUUCAUUUGUCGCGACUCUCUUUCCAUACCAAGCAACAUAACCAGGCAAAACGUCGCCCUUGGAAAAAUCACAUACUCGGGUGUUUGCUCCCAAAUAUUGGCAUUUGCUCCAAAUUUGGCGAACCAUUUAGUCAAGAAAUUGGGCAUCGGAAUGCACUUCAACCGCAUGAAUACUAAGAUCUUCAUAUCUGGGAACUAUCUAGCAUCUUCCAUGUUAUCUCAAAAUUCGGUAUAGGGCUAGGGAUUGAUGCUUCAGGGACCCAUUAGAAGGGAGUAGGGGCCAGUGGCAGGCAUAUAAAUGAUCUCAUUAACAAGAGCCAGCCCAAUGUCCAUUCUAUCUUAUCUCCGCUUAUGGAACGGAGGUGGAUGAUCCAAUCUUUGACCUUUUCUAGCAUUUUGUAUCCGGUCACUCGUGCCCCAAACUCUUCGAUGCAAUUUUUCCUUGUAGAACCAUAUUUUAUGUAGCAGGAUUAGUGACAAAGGCCCUCGAUCAUCCACAUUCAAGAGAUUGCACCCCUCAAAAAAUCUGACCCCGGCCUUACAUGAUGUAAGGGCUCAGAAUAUAUCUGAUACAAUCAUGGGCGCGAGGGUACUCUUAGCCUGAGUAGUCAAAACAUGGGAAACUCCGGCUACACGUAAAUCAAUGCACCUGUCCUUCCUUGGAAAUACCAAAAGGCAUGAGAAUGCCACUAUGAAGGCAAAGCAUCUAUGUAUUUUCCACUUUGAUCGGUUUCCUUUAUUGUAGAGUCCAUUUUAUGGGUCUUCAGAUCCACUUAAAUGCCUGUAUCGUUGGUAUAGAAAGUGUAAAAUGGAAGUUCCACGUGCUAGAUUUUCAGUCUUGAUUUGCCUGUUUAUUUUCAGUAAGUCUAGAAAUUUGUGGGGAGUAACAGUCUUGGAGAUACCAGGUACUUGUGUCUUAAUCCUUCCAUACUCCCGGCAUUGCCCACGAUUUCUCUCAAAGUAGGUAUAAACUCAAAAUCUGAGAAGUGCAAGAAAUUAUGAGUGGGGUCCCAAAAUGACUCUAAUGCCUCUAUCAGAUUACUUCUAGGUUUAAUAUUCAAUAGUCCAGUGAGUUACCCCAAAUAUUGGCUGACCCUGUCUCAUUCUUGUUUUUCCAAAUCCUUCAACCUGUGGAGUGCUAGUGGAAUAUGAUAGAUAACCUUCACAGAUAAAUUCCGAACAAUGCUCAUUCUGCACAUUUUAAAUUAGGGUAACCAGCUGAAAACAUGUGAAUUAUGUUUAAAAACUGACCAUGAAAAGAUUAUUUUUGCAAAAUCCAACUGAAAACAAAUCACUUCGGAAGGGAAGAUUUUUGAGUUGUGUUUGCUAAGUGGUCAAAUUUGAGAAAAGGACCAUAGGUAGCUAUUCUUGCAAAAUGUACUUUCGGCAUCUCGUCGGGAUAUUUCUAUCUAUUUGGAUAAUAUUUUCAUAUUUUGAUUAAUUUUGGAAAAGCAGGGGUGGGCCUGAUGAGGGUUGCCUACGUAUCUCACAUACGGUGAGAAUCAAACCCGCGUAGUUCGGUAAGUUUCGAUGCAACAAAAAAAUAUAACUUAUUUUGAAAUGAAUUUUUUUUAAGAAAACUUUUGGCACAGUCUCGGGAUAUUUUGAAUACCGGAGUUUUUAGAAUCGGGUGAUUUUCUUUUCUUCUCACUCGAUUUUUCUCAAUUUUUUUCCCUAUUCUAGAAGUUGGUCAACAUGCAAGCCGAAAAAAAUAAAUGCACAAGUAGCACAUAAAAAUGCAUCAGGGUGGUCUUUUAAAUUGGGUGUACCUGUCCUAGACAGACUCAACCCCUGUGUUGAGUCCCUAAAGUCAAAUGCACGUGAUGCAAGCAACCUUACCUACUAGGGAUCCGACAUGAGGCUGUGUUAUUCUAAGUUAAAAACCUGGAUAUAUUGUUCUAGACCGGGCUUACCUGAGCGAACAACUCGGGGGAGGGGGGAACAUACUAGUAACCAAAAGAUCAUUCGACUUUGUAACUGAUCCGAUCCUCGUUCUAAAUUAAGUUAUGCCACUAACAGAAUAGAAGUCACGCCGGCGUGCACUUCCCAAAAGAUUUAUAAGACUCAGGGAAAAGAAGGGUUUUGUAACAAUUUAUAUAGAGUUUAAACAAUAUCAAAGCAGUAAAAAGCGGCAUUUAGCACAUUAGACUGCUACUAAGUCCGCAUGAUCUAACAACUUCAACCUUCAAACCACAAGAAAUUUAAUAAUUGAUGCCACACAUCACUCAUAAAUUGAACAAGAAUAUCUAUUAUUCUGAAGAAAGAAAAAGAAAAUGGAGAAGACAACAUGACAUUCAAAUAGCUCUAUCGUAAUAAGAUUUACAGCAGCACAAUCAGUAAUCACAAUUGAAAUAGAAUUCAUGUACCAUGAGAAAGCAAAUAGUGGAUAGAUUUGACAAAAAAUAAGAAAAUCACACAUAUUUGAUGCACAAAAUCUAAACAUAGGCAUAGCAAGAACAAAUCAUAUCCUUGAAUCUAUAUUUAGUAAUGAUUCAAACAAAUAGAUAGAUUACAUACCUAUCAACAAGAACAAUAAAAGAAAAGAUGACCAAACAAAAGCUAAACUUGAGAGCAAAUAGAGCUUGAUUGAACAAGACCAACUAAGCAGUAAUCAAUAACCCAUUGUGCUAAAAUUCAACAACUUCAAAAGCCAAAAAAUAUACCAGAAAAUAGUGAAGUUGAAGUAGCCUCCCUAUUUCCAUUUUCUCUAUUUAAGUAUUUAUGCCCUUUUCGAGAAUAAAUAUGCAAAAAUUAACGUGUAGUGUGUGAGGGGGUGUGAGGUCUCUUUUACAAAGUGUGAGAGUACAAGAUGAUAUAGGCAAUGAGAGAGAGAGAUUGAGGGAAUUUGACAGCAUUCCCUUAAAAUUAGAAAAUUGGCUUCUUUUAAAAAUAGAAAAAUGGACAAUUGUCCAGCUUUUCAGCAUUCCUUGUUAAUAAUUUUGGACAGCUAGUCCCUUUCUGGAAACCUCCCACAAACACCUAAAAAUUCAUAUCUUUACUUUUCAAUUAACCCCCCUUAAGGUUCUCUUUUUUACAAAUAGCCACCUUAAUUUUGAUCUUUCUGAUUCUCAAUGCCCUAAGUUUUUAUGUUCCCCUAGCUCCCUCAAGUUUCAAUUAUGACAGAUAAACAUUAAAAAAUAUAUGAAUAUAAACAAAAUAUUAAUCAACCAAACUAUUUAACAAUUAAUUGUUAAACUUAUGCAAUUACACUAAAUAAUACAAUUGAACUAACUGAUUAUGCACCUAAUUAAAGCGUUCAAACAAAAUAUAAUUCGACAGAAUUUAGGUAUCAAUUCGGUUAGAACAGGAGAGCAAGCAGAAAUGAUAAAAAAAAAAAGAUAAUAAUCCAUCAGUUAUUCAAACAAAAUCAUGCAAGUAACUAUUAAUUAAAUCAUGCACACACUGAAUCAAAUGAAAUUAAUUCCUAAUAUGCUAAAAAGUAAUAAGAACAUAUUAAAACUCAUGAAGCAAUAGUAAAGAUAAUGGAAAAUUACCUAAACAUAGCAAGAAAGAUCUUCUGACAGAAUUUGGUCGAACCGUCAAAUCUGAACGCCUUCAAAAUGGACCAAAAAUGACACUAAUCAAUUUUUUCUCGCUAAGAACAAUCAAUUAGCAUAAUUUUCGGUCAAAUCGAGUCUUGAAACUCAACCAAAAUCGAAGGAGGAAGGAAAAAUAGGGUCUUUUUUUCUUCUUUUUAGAUUCGAAAUUGGAGAAGUUUGGUGGAGGUUUUGGGAAAAUUGGUAAGGAAUUAGAGUUAAGGCGGAGUUGGAGAGAGUGUAGGGUGUGAGUUUGGGGUUGUUUGGACGGUGGCCUACGGUGGCAAGGGCUUAGAAAUCCUAGGGCGACUACGGUUUGGUGAGGGGAAGGAGAUACAUCGAAUGGGGAGAGUUCUGCGGUU